This 776-nucleotide long non-coding RNA is filed under the name Heterocephalus glaber (naked mole-rat). Its description in RNAcentral is "lncRNA (ENSHGLG00000042712.1)". The record is from RNAcentral. Lineage: Eukaryota; Metazoa; Chordata; Mammalia; Rodentia; Bathyergidae.
GUAGAAACCUGCCCAGCCAGUUAAAUGAAAGGCAUAUUAGGUUAUCCAUUGCACACAGUACAUAGCUUAGAUGCAACAGAACUCUUCCACAUAGCAGGAGUGUCUAGCAAACUCUAGUGUGGUCCAGCGAGGUGGCAUCCACUGAUUUAACAUUUAUAUUCACAGCUUCAGGGAAAGUGAGGCGUGAAACACCAUCUGCUUUUGACCAAGAGCAGAGGUUUCCUCAAUAAACUGAAGGGCUGUUGCUAUAUUGUAACAAUCUUAUAUGGUCAAUCUAAUUGUGGAUAAAAGAAUAAUUGCCUUUUUUAAGGCAAAAGAAAAAAGGAUUGGCUUGCUUGGUGAUCCUAAGUACAUUAGAGGACCAAUUCACAGGAAGAAUUAAGGAGUGUGAAAAACAAAGACUGGAAUCUGGUAAAAUCCUACCUGACUGAUGCUUCUAAAUUUAGUAAUUUUAGUCCAGUCCAAGUGGAUUCUGAAAAAUAAUCACUUGUAAUUGUUUUACUUUUACAAUGAAGAGAAAGGAGAGUACAUUGAAAAACAUGUGGGCUUCUGAGCCAAGCUGACAUGUGUUUGAAUAUUGACUCUGCUAAAAACUAUAAUUGUGAAUUAUUUAACUUUCUAAGUUCUCUUUUCUCCAUCUUUAAAUUAAGGAAACUAAAAUCAUUCAUUAAGAGUUGUUAAAUUAGGGUUGGGGAUGUAGUUCCUUGGUAGAGUGCUUGAGUCACCUGUACAAACCCAAGGUUAGAUCCCCAACAUCACAAAAGAAAAAAAACGGG